Molecule: unclassified non-coding RNA, 400 nt
Filed under: Hevea brasiliensis (rubber tree)
Lineage: Eukaryota; Viridiplantae; Streptophyta; Magnoliopsida; Malpighiales; Euphorbiaceae
Source: RNAcentral
GUCAAAGCUUCAUUUAUAAACUAUGCCCUUCUGAACUGGCAUAAAAAAAAAUUGGAAAAUACAAUUUUCCGUGUUAUUUCUUGAACAAAUGGAACAGGAAAAUACGUAAACGUUAUCAAUUUGGCUCCCUGCUUCGUCUAAUUUACAUUAUGAUAGAUAUCUGAACAUAAAGCGAGUUUUCUCAUAUGAUUCAAAGAAAAUCAGGCUGGCCUGUGGAUGUCAAGCAACGAUGCCACAUACGGCUGUUAGGGUCGACAACCCUGGGUUUAGAGAUGACUUCUGGAAUUGGAAAGUAGACAUAAUGAGUAUUGCAUAUACCCACUGUGAUACCACUAUAUCCAGCAAAUGCACCAUGAACAGCAUUUUGCCCAAGUACGGUGCACAGAAUACCAUCUGAAGC